RNAcentral lists this unclassified non-coding RNA (294 nucleotides) under uncultured fungus. RNAcentral's name for it is "partial contains 5.8S ribosomal RNA, internal transcribed spacer 2, and large subunit ribosomal RNA". Lineage: Eukaryota; Fungi. The record is from RNAcentral.
AACGCACCUUGCGCUCUUGGGUUAUUCCUAGGAGCAUGUUCGUUUCAGUGUCGCGUACCUUCUCAACCCCGCCCUUGUAACAAAGGGUCGUUUAGGUGUUGGAUCAUGGCCUUUGCCCGUCUCUUUGGAGGUGGGCUGGGCUGAAUUACAAAAAGCUGUACCUUAUACUAGCGGCUUGACCCGUUGUCGUAAUAACACAUUUUCGACGGGGAUCGCUGGGCUUGGACGAGCUUACCACAAAUUGUACUUUCAUACAUUGACCUGAAAUCGAGCAGGACUACCCCCUGAACUUAA